Molecule: ribosomal RNA, 244 nt
Filed under: uncultured Staphylococcus sp.
Lineage: Bacteria; Bacillati; Bacillota; Bacilli; Caryophanales; Staphylococcaceae
Description: partial 16S ribosomal RNA
Rfam family: Bacterial small subunit ribosomal RNA
Source: RNAcentral
CGGCGGACGGGUGAGUAACACGUGGAUAACCUACCUAUAAGACUGGGAUAACUUCGGGAAACCGUAGCUAAUACCGGAUAAUAUAUUGAACCGCAUGGUUCAAUAGUGAAAGACGGUUUUGCUGUCACUUAUAGAUGGAUCCGCGCCGCAUUAGCUAGUUGGUAAGGUAACGGCUUACCAAGGCAACGAUGCGUAGCCGACCUGAGAGGGUGAUCGGCCACACUGGAACUGAGACACGGUCCAG